This 460-nucleotide ribosomal RNA is filed under the name uncultured bacterium. RNAcentral's name for it is "partial 16S ribosomal RNA". It matches the Rfam family "Bacterial small subunit ribosomal RNA", at positions 338 to 795 of the family's 1533-position model. The record is from RNAcentral.
CCUACGGGUGGCAGCAGUGAGGAAUAUUGGUCAAUGGGCGCGAGCCUGAACCAGCCAAGUAGCGUGAAGGAUGACUGCCCUACGGGUUGUAAACUUCUUUUAUAAAGGAAUAAAGUGAGGCACGUGUGCCUUUUUGUAUGUACUUUAUGAAUAAGGAUCGGCUAACUCCGUGCCAGCAGCCGCGGUAAUACGGAGGAUCCGAGCGUUAUCCGGAUUUAUUGGGUUUAAAGGGAGCGUAGGGGGGUUGUUAAGUCAGUUGUGAAAGUUUGCGGCUCAACCGUAAAAUUGCAGUUGAUACUGGGUGUCUUGAGUGCAGUAGAGGGAGGAGGAAUUCGUGGUGUAGCGGUGAGAUGCUUAGAUAUAAAGAAGAACUACGAUUGCGAAGGCAGCUUAUUGGACUGUAACUGAGGCUGAUGCGCGAAAGUGUGGGUAUCAAACAGGAUGAGAUAACCUAGGAGUC